CCUUUCGAGGGGCGUGGCCAAGCCGGCGAGUGGGCGGUGCUGCCGUCCACACCGCUUCCUGGAGUGGCUUGUUGCCAUGGCGACGGCGGCUUGCUGAGGCCUACCCGAGCAGGCCAGCGCCAGACAGACCCCCGCCUCGGGCCGCCGCCGGCAUGAACUACACCGGCAGCUCCUAUAGCGGCAGCCGCGUCCACGGCAGGUUGGAGGGUUCAGGCUCUUACACCCUCCCAACAGAAACCAAGUACGUUGGUGAAAUGAAAGACGGGAUGUUUCACGGCAAAGGAACCUUGUUCUUCCCCAGUGGAAGCAAAUAUGAAGGGACGUGGCAAUUUGGAAAAUGCACAGAGGGGAAAUACACCUUUGCCGAUGGGCUGGAAUACAAAGACAAGAAAUGGCAUUACUGUGACGGCUACGACAGGAGGUUCUAUACGGAGAUCUGCAAGGGCCUGAAGCCAGCAGGCAUUUCCCAGCUCACCAACCUGGACCCGCCUCGGGCCAUUCCGAAAGGCUGCUAUGACUGCGGCGAUGGUUUCUACAACCCCAAGACCCGAGUGGUCAUUGACUACGAGUACCGGUUCCUGAGGAAUGCAGAUGACGACGAGCAUGAGUGGAUCGUCAGAACCUGCCGCAAAGGCUGGGACGAGAUCGUGGGCUUUAAGCCGAAGCCACCGGCCUCUCUGGAGAAAUCGGAGAACCAGGCUCCCCCUUGACGCCUCCAGCUUCUGUGCACGAGGACCCGGUCCCUAUAAUUUCUACAUUAAGACCCUGGGAAAACCUGGAGAGACGGGAACAAAUUAAUGCCCCAGCAACCCUACAGAGCUCUGAGAUGGCGAGAGGAACUGUUUGUGGAGGCGUGUGUGGGGUGAGUGGUGGGCCAUUCAGACAGUAAACUUCUAACACUGAA
Molecule: RNA transcript, 904 nt
Organism: Hemicordylus capensis (graceful crag lizard)
Lineage: Eukaryota; Metazoa; Chordata; Lepidosauria; Squamata; Cordylidae
Gene: MORN5
Gene name: MORN repeat containing 5
Exons: 6
Source: RefSeq, a predicted model, not a curated record